CAACCCUCAAGCCCCCCCGGGGGCUCGGUGUUGGGGACCGGCCCUGCCUUCCAGCGGGUGCCGCCCCCGAAAUACAGUGGCGGUCCUGCCGCAGCCCCCUCUGCGUAGUAACUUACAACCUCGCACCGGAGCGCGGCCUGGCCACGCCGUAAAACCCCCCACUUCUGAAAGG
This 172-nucleotide unclassified non-coding RNA is filed under the name uncultured Hypocreaceae. RNAcentral's name for it is "sequence contains ITS2". Lineage: Eukaryota; Fungi; Ascomycota; Sordariomycetes; Hypocreales. The record is from RNAcentral.